UCUACGGAAGGCAGCAGGCGCGCAAAUUACCCACUCCUAGAACGGGGAGGUAGUGACGAAAAAUAACAAUACCGGACUCUAUGAGGCUCGGUAAUUGAAAUGAGUACAGUUUAAAACCCUUAACGAGGAUCUAUUGGAGGGCAAGUCUGGUGCCUGCAGCCGCGGUAAUUCCAGCUCCAAUAGCGUAUAUUAAAGUUGUUGCAGUUAAAAAGCUCGUAGUUGGAUCUCAGGCACUAGCAUGUGGUACGCUUAACUGCUGUUACUACAUGUCUGGUCCUAAUCAAUCGGUUGGCCGUUGAUGCCCUUUAUUGGGUGUUUUCGGUAGCCGAUACGUUUACCUUGAGAAAAUUAGAGUGCUUAAAGCAGGCUAUACGCCUGAAUAAUGUUGCAUGGAAUAAUAGAAUAGGACCUCGGUUCUAUUUUGUUGGUUUUGUAGAGCAUUGAGGUAAUGAUUAAUAGGGACAGACGGGGGCAUUCGUAUUGCGGUGUUAGAGGUGAAAUUCUUGGAUCGCCGCAAGACGAACAACUGCGAAAGCAUUUGCCAAGAAUGUUUUCAUUAAUCAAGAACGAAAGUUGGAGGUUCGAAGACGAUUAGAUACCGUCCUAGUUCCAACCAUAAACGAUGCCAACUAGCGAUUAGCUGCUGUUAAUUAAACGACACAGCUAGCAGCUUCCGGGAAACCAAAGUUUUUGGGUUCCGGGGGAAGUAUGGUUGCAAAGCUGAAACUUAAAGGAAUUGACGGAAGGGCACCACCAGGAGUGGAGCCUGCGGCUUAAUUUGACACAACACGGGAAAUCUCACCCGGCCCGGACACUGUAAGGAUUGACAGAUUGAGAGCUCUUUCUUGAUUCGGUGGGUGGUGGUGCAUGGCCGUUCUUAGUUGGUGGAGCGAUUUGUCUGGUUAAUUCCGAUAACGAACGAGACUCUAGCCUGCUAAAUAGUACGCCAAUCUCUAGUCGGCGCGUACUUCUUAGAGGGACAAGUAGCGGUUAGCUACACGAAAUUGAGCAAUAACAGGUCUGUGAUGCCCUUAGAUGUUCGGGGCCGCACGCGCGCUACACUGAAGGGAUAAGCGUGUUCUUCCUGUUCCGAAAGGAAUGGGUAAUCCGCCGAAACCCCUUCGUGAUUGGGAUCGGGGCUUGAAAUUAUUCUCCGUGAACGAGGAAUUCCUAGUAAGCGCGAGUCACUAGCUUGCGUUGAUUACGUCCCUGCCCUUUGUACACACCGCCCGUCGCUACUACCGAUUGAAUGGUUUAGUGAGAUCUUCGGAUUGGUCCGGAGGUGCCGCAAGGUUGCCUCUAGGUUCCGAGAAGAUGAUCAAACUUGAUCAUUUAGAGGAAGUAAAAGUC
This 1350-nucleotide ribosomal RNA is filed under the name metagenome. Its description in RNAcentral is "SSU rRNA". It matches the Rfam family "Eukaryotic small subunit ribosomal RNA", at positions 415 to 1790 of the family's 1831-position model. The record is from RNAcentral.